GGGACAGCCACGGUGGCUAGAUGGUUUCAUGAGCCAUACGCUUGCGGGUUCGACUCCCGCCCCUAGCACCA
RNAcentral lists this transfer RNA (71 nucleotides) under Caudoviricetes sp. Its description in RNAcentral is "tRNA-Met". Lineage: Duplodnaviria; Heunggongvirae; Uroviricota; Caudoviricetes. The record is from RNAcentral.